GCCCAAAUUUUUUUAUAGGUUGCUCCAGCGCUGCAUUUUUUAUCUUCCGGCGUCAAUCAGAAAUAAGCUGCAACAAGAACCAUCAAAGUCCAGGUGUGCUCGUUCAUCCAACUCGAAGCCUCCCAAGAAGCACGGAUAAGAUUGGGACACUGAUGCAACUUUUGUUUCCUGAGACAGCAGUAUAUCAUAGGCUGAAGAGUAGAUGAGAUCUCUGAUAGCCUUUUUUUUCUUCCGGUGCACCUGUCCCCCUUAUAUUAAUUCCAGCUAACAAUUAUCAUGAUAGGAAGGACAGCAACAUAUUGGCAGCACGGACAAAACAAUAAGAUACACACCU
This 334-nucleotide long non-coding RNA is filed under the name Elaeis guineensis (African oil palm). RNAcentral's name for it is "long non-coding RNA (EGUI_LNC033348)". The record is from RNAcentral. Lineage: Eukaryota; Viridiplantae; Streptophyta; Magnoliopsida; Arecales; Arecaceae.